This 425-nucleotide ribosomal RNA is filed under the name uncultured bacterium. RNAcentral describes it as "bacterial SSU rRNA". It matches the Rfam family "Bacterial small subunit ribosomal RNA", at positions 354 to 796 of the family's 1533-position model. The record is from RNAcentral.
GUGGGGAAUAUUGGACAAUGGGGGCAACCCUGAUCCAGCAAUGCCGCGUGAGUGAAGAAGGCCCUAGGGUUGUAAAGCUCUUUCACCCGUGACGAUGAUGACGGUAACGGGAGAAGAAGCACCGGCUAACUCCGUGCCAGCAGCCGCGGUAAUACGGGGGGUGCAAGCGUUAUUCGGAAUUAUUGGGCGUAAAGGGCGCGUAGGUGGCCUGAUAUGUCAAAGGUGAAAUCCCUCGGCUUAACCGAGGAACUGCCUUUGAAACUGUCAGGCUUGAGGCCGGGAGGGGGUAGCGGAAUUCCCAGUGUAGCGGUGAAAUGCGUAGAUAUUGGGAGGAACACCGGUGGCGAAGGCGGCUACCUGGACCGGUUCUGACACUGAGGCGCGAAAGCGUGGGGAGCAAACAGGAUUAGAAACCCUAGUAGUCC